GACGAACGCUGGCGGCGUGCCUAAUACAUGCAAGUCGAACGCUUUUUCUUUCACCGGAGCUUGCUCCACCGAAAGAAAAAGAGUGGCGAACGGGUGAGUAACACGUGGGUAACCUGCCCAUCAGAAGGGGAUAACACUUGGAAACAGGUGCUAAUACCGUAUAACAAGUAAAACCGCAUGGUUUUACUUUGAAAGGCGCUUUUGCGUCACUGAUGGAUGGACCCGCGGUGCAUUAGCUAGUUGGUGAGGUAACGGCUCACCAAGGCAACGAUGCAUAGCCGACCUGAGAGGGUGAUCGGCCACAUUGGGACUGAGACACGGCCCAAACUCCUACGGGAGGCAGCAGUAGGGAAUCUUCGGCAAUGGACGAAAGUCUGACCGAGCAACGCCGCGUGAGUGAAGAAGGUUUUCGGAUCGUAAAACUCUGUUGUUAGAGAAGAACAAGGAUGAGAGUAAAAAGUUCAUCCCUUGACGGUAUCUAACCAGAAAGCCACGGCUAACUACGUGCCAGCAGCCGCGGUAAUACGUAGGUGGCAAGCGUUGUCCGGAUUUAUUGGGCGUAAAGCGAGCGCAGGCGGUUUCUUAAGUCUGAUGUGAAAGCCCCCGGCUCAACCGGGGAGGGUCAUUGGAAACUGGGAAACUUGAGUGCAGAAGAGGAGAGUGGAAUUCCAUGUGUAGCGGUGAAAUGCGUAGAUAUAUGGAGGAACACCAGUGGCGAAGGCGGCUCUCUGGUCUGUAACUGACGCUGAGGCUCGAAAGCGUGGGGAGCAAACAGGAU
RNAcentral lists this ribosomal RNA (778 nucleotides) under Enterococcus devriesei. RNAcentral describes it as "bacterial SSU rRNA". It matches the Rfam family "Bacterial small subunit ribosomal RNA", at positions 28 to 778 of the family's 1533-position model. The record is from RNAcentral. Lineage: Bacteria; Bacillati; Bacillota; Bacilli; Lactobacillales; Enterococcaceae.